AAAAGUAGUAAUAGUUAAGAUCUUGAAACUUAAAAAAUUUGGCGGUAUUUUAGUCUAUUCAGAGGAACUUGUUUUAUAAUCGAUAAUCCACGAUGGACCUUACUUAAUUUUGUUAUCAGUUUAUAUACCGUCGUUAUUAGAAUAUUUUAUAAGAAUUUUUAAUUUUCUUAAUUUUAAAAAAUUAAAAUUAUAUCAGAUCAAGGUGUAGCUUAUAUUUAAGUAAAAAUGGGUUACAAUAAAAUUAUUUAAAUGAAUAUAAAUUUGAAAUAUUUAUUGAAGGUGGAUUUGAUAGUAAAUUUAUAUAGAUUAAUAAU
This 314-nucleotide ribosomal RNA is filed under the name Exorista aureifrons. Its description in RNAcentral is "partial 12S rRNA". The record is from RNAcentral. Lineage: Eukaryota; Metazoa; Arthropoda; Insecta; Diptera; Tachinidae.